GAUGAACGCUGGCGGCGUGCCUAAUACAUGCAAGUCGAGCGAACGGACGAGAAGCUUGCUUCUCUGAUGUUAGCGGCGGACGGGUGAGUAACACGUGGAUAACCUACCUAUAAGACUGGGAUAACUUCGGGAAACCGGAGCUAAUACCGGAUGAUAUUUUGAACCGCAUUGUUCAAAAGUGAAAGACGGUCUUGCUGUCACUUAUAGAUGGAUCCGCGCUGCAUUAGCUAUUUGGUAAGGUAACGGCUUACCAAGGCAACGAUGCAUAGCCGGCCUGAUAGGGUGGUCGGCCACACUGGAACUGAGACACGGUCCAGACUCCUACGGGAGGCAGCAGUAUGGAAUCUUCCGCAAUGGGCGAAAGCCUGACGGAGCAACGCCGCGUGAGUGAUGAAGGUCUUCUGAUCGUAAAACUCUGUUAUUAGGGAAGAACAUAUGUGUAAGUAACUGUGCACAUCUUGACGGUACCGAAUCAGAAAGCCACGGCUAACUACGUG
This 497-nucleotide ribosomal RNA is filed under the name uncultured bacterium. RNAcentral describes it as "partial 16S ribosomal RNA". It matches the Rfam family "Bacterial small subunit ribosomal RNA", at positions 28 to 507 of the family's 1533-position model. The record is from RNAcentral.